UGUAUUCAACAUCUUUGCAUGCUUGUUUGAGCAAUUUCAAAGGCUUCCCUCAUAUCCGUCCAAAUGUCAGUCCCAGAUCAUAAAGCAGUCAGCUGAAGCUUCUCAUGCAAACCCAUGAAUCUGAGCAGCAUCCUGGGUUCAUACAGCUGCUUUCAGUAGAAGACUGAAAUAACGUGCUUUGGAUAAGUUGCUAAGAACCACAAAGAACAUGUCAAGUUACAAGGUGAGAAUGAUACUCUGAGAAAUACCAAGGCAGAGAACCUACAAAUACGUUCACAUUUUACACAGACUAACGCCCUGAUCCUGCUAUAGGAUGUAUAGUGGACAUGGAUUUCACACCGAGGUCUGGAUAUUGACCGAUCUGUCCAGAGGGACCAGGUACCAUUCCCGUGGGUAACGACUGCAGGCUACAGGGAUCACAGGCAGACGGUGUGGAUUAGAAGAACAUCAUGAUAACGCAUACGUUUAGGACAAGUGGUUGAAGUUCUCAAGAAAUCCCUGGCAUUGUUCAGAGCUGGAGAGGGGAAACUGGAGGACACGA
Molecule: long non-coding RNA, 541 nt
Organism: Oxyura jamaicensis (ruddy duck)
Lineage: Eukaryota; Metazoa; Chordata; Aves; Anseriformes; Anatidae
Exons: 4
Source: RefSeq, a predicted model, not a curated record